RNAcentral lists this long non-coding RNA (1575 nucleotides) under Homo sapiens (human). RNAcentral describes it as "HSALNT0398710". Lineage: Eukaryota; Metazoa; Chordata; Mammalia; Primates; Hominidae. The record is from RNAcentral.
CCCAGAGGUUCCAAUGCUUGCACUGUAAGGAACUCAUCAGGCCCAGAAGGCUCCCAGCCCCAGAGGUUCCCAGAGCUCUUCAGGUGGAAUGUUGAGUCUGCACAAGCCAGGAUGGUGACUCUGGAGAAGUUCUCCAGAAAAGAAUCAGCAUCUAGAGUCUCCUGAGUUCCAGGCCCUUAGAAAUUUAGACUCCAGAACCACUGCCAAAGUGACCCCCUCAGCCCAGCCCUUCGGUACCCAGCAUCCACUGUCCUCAGCCCAGCCCUUCCGUACCCAGCAUCCACUGUCCUGGUGGGAGUCCGCUGUGCUGCUCCAAGAAGACAGACCCUCACCAUUACCGGAAAGACUGACCCUCCUGUGUCCAGGUCCUGUGGCCCAGACUCAGCUCUGGAAGAGAAAUCUGGAUUUACAAUGCUCAGUACGUCGCUCAAAAUCUGCACUCGAUGACGUCUGUAAGCUCUUGGUCCCAGCCUGGGCUGCGAAGCCUGAGGCUUGGGCAGACAAUGCCGUCCCGCCGUCAUCUCUGCUCCCUCUUCGAUCGCUAAGCUCCCACAGCAUUGAUCUAACCAGACAUGGGCCCAGGGAGAGAGCUGUCUUCCCCACCUCCCAGCCCCAAUCCCUCAAUCCCUCGCCUGCCGUGCCAAGACUGGUCAAGGGAAAGUCCAGGAAGAAAGCAUGGUAAGGGGCACCGUGCUGCCUGCGCCCGCCCCGCUGUGCAGAAUGCAGAGGCUCAGGAUGCGGUGCGCAGAGACUCAGUCCCAACCGUCUUGUGGCUUCUUACCACGUAUCUCCCAGGAAGUCACCAUGAGGCUUAGUUCUUCCUUCCUGUGACUGGGGUAAAGGAGAGAACUGUCUCCUUGGACAUCAUCAUCCAUACGCCCGGCCCGAACGUCAUCUCUGACCCAAACACCAAAUCCAGACGGGCAACCACGGCUGUGGGGUGUGGAGGGGGAAUCUGAACACCAACCUGGAGGUCAGACUUGAAGGAGACGGCGACGCUGCCUUCGCCCCAUUCACAAUAUACAACCUUCGAUGGGCCACCUCCCCAGUGAGGCUUCAUCAAGGGGGCUUGGUCAACUUCCUUUUUGUGUGAACGAAAACAUACGUUUCCAGGCGCCUAUUAAGGGCUUGAGUCUGUGUCAGAGACGAGCCACACAAGUCAACGGACCUCACAGUCUAAUGUGGAGGGCACACCUCUGACUAUUCAAAAGUCAUAUAUAGCAUAUUAACCGUAGAUUUUAACAAAUUAGCCUUGAAAUACCUGCAGUUUGUCACAAUGGAAGGCUCACUUCUCACUGGGUGACACGUCCAUAUGGGGGCCCCCGGUUGGCAGUUGGAGCUCCUCCAUCAGGUGACUCAGGUGCCCAGAUUCUUCCAACUUUGGGGUCCAACCUCCCCUAGAACCUUGGAGUGCUCUGUUACCAGUGAGGGGAAAGAGGAAGAGAGAGUGGAAAGGGCUCAUCCGUGCCUUUUAAAUAAAAAAUCUGAAUGUGACCAGGCGCAGUGGCUCACGCCUGUAAUCCCAGCACUUUGGGAGGCCAAGGCAGGCAGAUCACAAGGUCAAGAGAUGGAGAC